UGGGGAAUUUUGGACAAUGGGCGCAAGCCUGAUCCAGCCAUGCCGCGUGAGUGAAGAAGGCCUUCGGGUUGUAAAGCUCUUUCGGCAGGAACGAAAUGGUUCGUGCUAAUACCACGGACUGAUGACGGUACCUGAAGAAGAAGCACCGGCUAACUACGUGCCAGCAGCCGCGGUAAUACGUAGGGUGCAGGCGUUAAUCGGAAUUACUGGGCGUAAAGCGUGCGCAGGCGGUUUCUUAAGUCAGAUGUGAAAGCCCCGGGCUUAACCUGGGAACUGCGUUUGAAACUGGGAGACUUGAGUGUGGCAGAGGGGGGCGGAAUUCCACGUGUAGCAGUGAAAUGCGUAGAUAUGUGGAGGAACACCGAUGGCGAAGGCAGCCCCCUGGGUUAACACUGACGCUCAUGCACGAAAGCGUGGGGAGCAAACAGGAUUAGAUACCCUGGUAGUCCACGCCCUAAACUAUGUCAACUGGUUGUCGGGAGAUUAACUCUCUUGGUAACGAAGCUAACGCGUGAAGUUGACCGCCUGGGGAGUACGGCCGCAAGGUUAAAACUCAAAGGAAUUGACGG
Molecule: ribosomal RNA, 569 nt
Filed under: uncultured bacterium
Lineage: Bacteria
Description: bacterial SSU rRNA
Rfam family: Bacterial small subunit ribosomal RNA
Source: RNAcentral